AGAGGAUGGAAAGUUAAAGAGCAGCAUGUAGAGCUCACUGACAGCUGGCAGACCACUCCUAUGUUGUCCAUAUUAGGGGAUCGUCAAGUGCCUGGAUGAAACCCCAGGCUCACACUGAACACUGUAUUAUAUCCUUACUGUAUCCAGACAGACUGGGGGCCAAGGAAAAAGUGGCAAUCUCUGCCCCCCUCCCAGACCAGAUGACAUGAUAAAAGGUGCCUCUGAUGCGUGCCCAUAGUUCCAGCCCUGGAUCCUGGUACCUGACAAAUAUCAGGUGGUGUUCAGCAGAGUUUUCAGGAUCUGCAUCAAACUAAAAUGAAUGUUCAUAUGGGAUCCAGAUCUUAAUAGCAAAUGAUGUCAGAACUAAAAUGAGAAUGAACUAUGGCUAAUUCCUCCCCUCUUUCUUGAGCACGAGGGAUGAAUGUUUAAUGUAAAUGGCAAUUGACUCAGACUGCAACUCCCAUCUUUCUCAGCCAUCUGCUUAAAAUCAUGUAAAAGUCUCUACAUUAUAAUCCCUUUUUACAAGAAUAGCAGCAAGUAUCUUAAUGUACAACCAAGUCACUAUUUAAUAGGAAAAAACACAUUCUAAAAGAGAAAUGGAAUUGGACUGAAGCAUAGGUAUUAAUGUUGUGGCUGCACAGCUCAUUCAUCUAUAAUAUAUUGCAUUAUAUGAACACGAUAUAACAUUCUCCACAAGAGCAUUUUAUCUGUUGUCUGUGGCUCUGCACUUUUGGCAGAACUACAACUCUCAAUAUCCUGCAGAAGUUCAGGAGCUGUACCUCCAUUUCACAUUGUUCUAACAUAUGUAAUCUUCUUUGCAGAUCUUGUAGUUUUUCUUAUUAAAAUUGGACAUACUGGUUGUUAAAUACUCCAUCCAGGGGGAAAGCGUAUAAUGUACAUAUAUUCUUUAUUUGAUUCUAAGCUGACAGCUGAGAAUCAUGGGAGGUUUGACAAAUUCUAAGUAUCUACAUUACAAAUCCUCCCUUCCCACUAAAGACAAAAAUAGACCUGUAUCUGAAUGGCUGGGUGUGAUUAUGGAUGAAUCAUAUUUGGGGCAGGAAGGGGGGGGGGGGGUAAGUAUUACAGUUAUUAUUACCAUCAUUAUUACCAUCUGUCUAAACCAUUUAAAAAAUCUUUAUAGUAUAAACUUUUUUUUAUUGCAAUGAGUAACAAGUAUUUUAAAAUGACACAUGCUACACAUACUUAUAUGAGGUCCAAAUACUUAGAUUAAGGUUAGUUUGACAUAGUUAGACAUAGACCUCAUAUAUAAAUGUAAUAUAAAAUGGCUCUAACUGCUCUCCUUUUGUAAUUAUUUUUCUCUUUAGCUAAUGGCAGAUGAGUGGUUACGUCCAGUGAUGUAGAUACCUUUGUGGAGAAAAGCCAAAUCUGCUGCCUUAAGCACAGGAUCGGCCUGUGAGUGCUCACACAGAGCGGAUUGUAGAACAAAAAUGCUUACGUCAGCAUUUUCAUGACAAAAUCCACCAUUUGCCUAAGGCCCAGCAACUCUCCCUUGCCUCCUAGGGAUUAAUAAUUGGAUUUCAAAGCUAAUAAUACAGUGAUCUGCACUUCCAGCUGGCUGAUGGCUGAAGAUGAUGGAAGUUGUUGCUUUUUCCUUUUUUUAACUUCAGGUCUGUGUUCAUAAUCAGUGUCUCAACAGCUUUAUCUGGAAAAAAGCAAGUAUCAGUCUGAAACAUCUGUUUCACAAUAAACUUUUCUGACACUUGAAGAUGCAUUCAUAUUUACACUGUACACUUGAAAGGGAGCAGGGAGUAUAAUUGUGUUUGUAGAGGCAGAGCUGCCUUCAUGGGACAGGAGGAGUCCAGUUAGUGGGCCCCAAAGACACAAAGGUCCAAUUUGCUUGCAGUAAAGAAGUGGGUCUUGUAGGGUGGGAGAGGUUUGUAAGUUAUGGGUGUGACUGAAUGGCUUUAUGAAUAAAAGGUGGGGCAUGGCCAGCCAUGUUUUUAAUUGGGGCCCCAAUCUACUUCAUUUGUAUGGUCUAACACCCAGGUGGUCAGUUGACUACUUAAACUGACCUGCUAUGGGUGAGGGUCCUGGUAAGAAGUAGUGUGGGUCCCCAUGAUUGGAGGUAUUGGUUUUGUUGUCCCAAGGGGUGAUUUACUUCAUGCUGGGGCCAUGGUACCACACCCAGUGAGAUGUACAGUUGCAAAUUAGAUUAGUUAUUUGUGUGAGCAUGGCAAUUGUUCUUUGUUCUCCAUGUGAAUAAUUUAGAGUUGCGUAAAAAGUUUAGAAAUGAUCCGCCCCAUGCCACAGAAGUAGCAAUAAAGCUCCAGCACUGAGCUAAAAAGAAGCCCUAUUCUUCCUGCCUGCCCUAUAGCAGGUGUAAGAACAGGGCUGUCUUGCAUUUGCUACCCCUGUGCUCUACACUAUUCCCCAGACACAAGAGCACUAAAGGGCUGGAUUGUGUGCCCCUAAGUGAUUUAAUACUCAUCUGAAGCAUAACGAAAUUGCUCCCCCCAGACUGCUAAUGCAGUUACUCUGUGCCACACGGAGACCACACAUCUAUACCAUAAUUAUACACAGCAGCAGUGUUUUAUAUUAAGUGCAAAAAGGUGCUCUAUUUAGUCAUUCAAAGGUAUCUAAACUGUCCUGGCUCCUCUCAAUACUGGGCUGUAAAAUCAGAGUGCUUGGCAGGUACCUAAACUAGCAUCCCAUUGCCAUUUAUUUAUACAGUUCCAACAAGUUAUGUAGCACUUUUCAACAAUUUAAAAACAGAUUACAAAGGGUCCUGCUUAAAGAGAAUUUACAAUCUGAAAUCACAGUAAAAUCAGAUACAGUACAAUGAUUUGUUACCUUAUCAGAGUAAGGUUUCUCUCAGGUAUUACAUGGGCUUUGUAUUCCAGUGUCAGAAGACAUGUGCAGUCAUCCACAGCAUUCCUAGGACAGUAUUUGCAAGUGUACCCCAAAUCCUACAACACUAGAGAGUACAUGCCCUGUUGGUGGGCUCAGAACUAGCUCCACAACCACUUAUAGAAACAAUGGCAGACUGUAAUUCUAAAGAGGGGUUUGCAUGUGUUAGCACUACAGCUCCAAAGACCAAUGCUUAGUGUCUUUAGAAAAGGGUCUAUUGAAAUUUUCAAUCAGUGCACCUGAGCACACAGCUGAGGCACAUUUAGCUUAGUGGAUUUUAAAAACAAAUAUGAGCCCCUUUUUACCAAGCUAGGAUAGAAAAAAACCUUUUUUAAAUGACUGGUUUACCUUUUAUUAGGGGUGGGUUGUUAAAUCCUUGAAAAAUCAGGGGACAUAUUCAGAUGUAAGAACCCGGGCAAUAACAAAGAGACAUGUCUCUGUGUAUUUCUUUUUUUCUCCCAACAAAACUAGUUCAGAGGAAUGUGUUUCUGGGUUUCACUGCAUAGGCAUGAUUUAAUGUUUUGUUACCCUUUGCUUUGAAUCAAAAUGUAAAUGCAGUGAAGGCAAUACUACAGAAGCUACUUGGAGAUAUA
Molecule: long non-coding RNA, 3461 nt
Organism: Xenopus tropicalis (tropical clawed frog)
Lineage: Eukaryota; Metazoa; Chordata; Amphibia; Anura; Pipidae
Exons: 2
Source: RefSeq, a predicted model, not a curated record